GAUGAAGAACGCAGCGAAAUGCGAUAAGUAGUGUGAAUUGCAGAAUUCAGUGAAUCAUCGAAUCUUUGAACGCACAUUGCGCCCUUUGGUAUUCCUUAGGGCAUGCCUGUUCGAGCGUCAUUUAAACCUUCAAGCUUAGCUUGGUGUUGGGUGACUGUCCGCUUCACGGCGGACUCGCCUCAAAAUUAUUGGCGGCCGGUACAUUGGCUUCGAGCGCAGCAGAAACGCGAACUCGGGCCCGUCGUAUUGGCUCCCAGAAGCUAUCUUCACAAUUUUGACCUCGGAUCAGGUAGGGAUACCCGCUGAACUUAAGCAUAUCAAUAAGCGGAGGA
Molecule: unclassified non-coding RNA, 332 nt
Filed under: soil metagenome
Description: partial contains 5.8S ribosomal RNA, internal transcribed spacer 2, and large subunit ribosomal RNA
Rfam family: 5.8S ribosomal RNA (bases 1-120)
Source: RNAcentral